AUAAAGUGCUAGGUUGGGGAGGCUCCGCGGGCUGGGCUGGCUGCUCCACCGCAUGAAAAGCAGACAUUUAUCUGUUCCCAUGGAGAUGAGUUUUCUACUAGUCAAUCACGCACUGAGGAGGUCAGACAAUAGCCGGUAGGUUCUUUUCUCAUCUUUAGAGACCGUCGAGUCCCCCCUUAAAAAAACAAUUCACGUACAUUUAGAGGAGCCUAAACGAUAGCUCAGAAAUACCUGCCAACGAGCAGCCAUGAUCAUUUCAAGGGAGUGCAGAGAACAAGAAGCCCCAGCCGCCUCCCGGGAGGACAGGGCGUGACCCACCUCCACCCCCCUUUUCCAAUUUCAAAUCAUACGUUGUUCUAUCGCACUCCUGAUUUGCAUGAAUUUGGCUUCCCAACCUGACCUCUGUCUCCCGAAUAAAAUAACUAAUAAGGUCAUAAGUUAAGGGAUGAACACUUCCAAACGACUUGGGGGGUAGGGGAGCCAGCAUGGGCUGUUUCAAAGAGAACCUCGGGCAAGCCACCACACACACACACACACACACACCCAACGCUGCCCCAGAAGAGAAACCCGGAGCUGCUGGAAGUUGCGUUCACAGCGGAUUUCUGUUCCGCUUGGGAAGAUGGAAAGGAGUGAAAGAGGAGGGAACAGCUUGUAGCAAGCAAGCUCAUUGAAAAAUGUAAUUCAGGAAGAGAUGCAACAGGGCCAAAACGAAAGAGGAACUGGGCCUGCCCCUGUUCAGAGCAGAAACACCAGAGUCACCAUCCUCAAGUUAAAAAUGAUGCAGGGAGAGUUGUGGUUGGGGGUGGCUGGAAAAUGCAUCACCCGCUGGACUUGUCACUGCAAUUCACUAUCUUGUUUGCUGUUUAUCUUGAGGCUUGGGGAGCUCCCCCGCUGGUUAGGGAAAAAGAGGGCGGUGUAGGGAGAAAUGUAGUGAUCAGAAAAGGAGGCUCAGACGCCCCAGAGAGAGUGGGAGGUGUAAAUAACAUGGGGGUGUUUGACAGUGAUGUCAGAGCAAAAAGAGACAGAGCUUGCCAAAAAUCCUAAAAAUUUCAGUGUGUGUGUUGGGGUGGGGAACCAGACACAAGGAAAAUGUCCCAAAAGAAAAAG
Long non-coding RNA from Phyllostomus discolor (pale spear-nosed bat), 1107 nucleotides. RefSeq lists it as uncharacterized. NCBI's taxonomy places the organism in Eukaryota, Metazoa, Chordata, Mammalia, Chiroptera, Phyllostomidae. The transcript has 2 exons. The record is from RefSeq and is a predicted model, not a curated record.